Molecule: transfer RNA, 73 nt
Filed under: Dictyocaulus viviparus (bovine lungworm)
Lineage: Eukaryota; Metazoa; Nematoda; Chromadorea; Rhabditida; Metastrongylidae
Rfam family: tRNA
About the family: Transfer RNA (tRNA) molecules are approximately 80 nucleotides in length. Their secondary structure includes four short double-helical elements and three loops (D, anti-codon, and T loops).
Source: Rfam by way of RNAcentral
GCCUCGGUAGUGCAAUUGGUUAGCACGGCAGACCGGAUAUCUGCGGAUGCGGGUUCAAGUCCCAUCCGAGGUU